This 490-nucleotide ribosomal RNA is filed under the name uncultured bacterium. RNAcentral describes it as "partial 16S ribosomal RNA". It matches the Rfam family "Bacterial small subunit ribosomal RNA", at positions 28 to 507 of the family's 1533-position model. The record is from RNAcentral.
GAUGAACGCUAGCUACAGGCUUAACACAUGCAAGUCGAGGGGAAACGCUGAGAGAGCUUGCUCUCUUAGGCGUCGACCGGCGCACGGGUGAGUAACGCGUAUCCAACCUACCCAUUACAGGGGGAUAACCUUGCGAAAGUAAGACUAAUACCCCAUGGCAUUUUAUGGUGGCAUCAUUAUAGGAUUAAAGAUUUAUUGGUAAUGGAUGGGGAUGCGUCUGAUUAGCUUGUUGGCGGGGUAACGGCCCACCAAGGCAACGAUCAGUAGGGGUUCUGAGAGGAAGGUCCCCCACAUUGGAACUGAGACACGGUCCAAACUCCUACGGGAGGCAGCAGUGAGGAAUAUUGGUCAAUGGGCGAGAGCUUGAACCAGCCAAGUAGCGUGCAGGAUGACGGCCCUAUGGGUUGUAAACUGCUUUUAUAGGGGAAUAAAGUGAGCUACGUGUAGUUUAUUGCAUGUACCCUAUGAAUAAGGACCGGCUAAGUCCGUG